CACAACAACAGCCCACAGAAACAGAGGCGACUUGCUCCGUACUGCUCGCCGCUUCCCCCCCAAUCUCCCCUCCCCCGCCGGCGAUCGCCGGAGCGCCCGCCGUCGCGGGGAGCCUCCCCUCGCCAUGGCCCUGCAGGGGAAGAAGCUCAUAAACAACCCCGACGAUGUGGUGACGGAGUUCAUCGAGGGGCUGGUGGAGACCUACCCGGGCCUGCAGUACCUGGACGGGUUCCCUCAGAUUAAAGUUGUUCUUCGUGCAGAUGUCGUGGGCGGCGCCUAUGACAAGGUCGCUGUCAUCUCAGGUACGGGGAUUAAUGUGAACCAUGCUCUGUGAAUGAGAUGGUUGAUUGCUGCGUUAAUUUAGUGGAAAUAUUCGGAAUCCUGUUGAAUUGCUCUGUGUGUGGAAUGCAGUAUGUACGGUAUGACCCCGCUUGGAGAUCACAGUUACAACGUCUGUAGGGGUUGCCUCUUUUGGCUGGUCACAGACUGGAAUUUGCCAACGAAGUGCACCAUCUCACCUACAUAAUUUUACAUGCGAUUCUGAAAAUUCUAAUGAGUUCAGGAUUAUGUUGGACUUCCGAUUUUGCAAGCAUCGGAGCAAUAUGAUCUUGUGUGCAUACUCUCGGUUGCUCAAUGUUACGUGAUACCUCAAAAUUUGCGGUCCUUUGUACGGUAUGGUACAAUUUUGGAUUGAUGCUUGGUGUUAUGGAUGUUGGAGGACACAGGACAGUGUAUGCCAAGAUGCACUGCAUCCUGUCGCAUUGUGAUAGAAAAGGCAUGGUGCUUCACCAUGUGAAGACGGUGCAUCCUGGGCCCCACGAGGAAGAUCCAUUUUGUUUGUCGUGGUGUUUGCGUACUUUUUUCCUGUUAUGCCUAGGUUGCCCAUCCAAGAGUUGUAUUGAACACAUGGUUUUCGUGAACCCCCAAACCGUUGCACCCAUAGAUAUCAUGCUGAACAGAGCAAGUAGAAGGCGUCAUUAGAUAAUAACAUAUUUACUGGCAAUAUGUGAUAUGUUAUCCUUUGUCCUUAUGGCUAUAUCAUCAAGGAGGCAUGUUGUUAUGCCUAGGUUGCCCAUCCAAGAGUUGU
Lolium rigidum is the source of this 1087-nucleotide long non-coding RNA. RefSeq lists it as uncharacterized. Lineage: Eukaryota; Viridiplantae; Streptophyta; Magnoliopsida; Poales; Poaceae. The transcript is spliced from 3 exons. The record is from RefSeq and is a predicted model, not a curated record.